RNAcentral lists this ribosomal RNA (460 nucleotides) under uncultured bacterium. RNAcentral's name for it is "partial 16S ribosomal RNA". It matches the Rfam family "Bacterial small subunit ribosomal RNA", at positions 338 to 795 of the family's 1533-position model. The record is from RNAcentral.
CCUACGGGUGGCAGCAGUGAGGAAUAUUGGUCAAUGGACGAGAGUCUGAACCAGCCAAGUAGCGUGAAGGAUGACUGCCCUAUGGGUUGUAAACUUCUUUUAUAUGGGACUAAAAUGUUCCACGUGUGGGAUUUUGUAUGUACCAUAUGAAAAAGGAUCGGCUAACUCCGUGCCAGCAGCCGCGGUAAUACGGAGGAUCCGAGCGUUAUCCGGAUUUAUUGGGGUUAAAGGGAGCGUAGGUGGAUUGUUAAGUCAGUUGUGAAAGUUUGCGGGUCAACCGUAAAAUUGCAGUUGAAACUGGCAGUCUUGAGGACAGUAGAGGUGGGCGGAAUUCGUGGUGUAGCGGUGAAAUGCUUAGAUAUCACGAAGAACUCCGAUUGCGAAGGCAGUUCACUGGACUGCAACUGACACUGAGGCUCGAAAGUGUGGGUAUCAAACAGGAUUAGAUACCCUUGUAGUC